Molecule: ribosomal RNA, 490 nt
Filed under: uncultured bacterium
Lineage: Bacteria
Description: partial 16S ribosomal RNA
Source: RNAcentral
GUAGUUAGCCGUGGCUUCCUCCUUAGGUACCGUCAUUAUCGUCCCUAAAGACAGAGCUUUACAAUCCGAAGACCUUCAUCACUCACGCGGCGUUGCUGCAUCAGGGUUUCCCCCAUUGUGCAAUAUUCCCCACUGCUGCCUCCCGUAGGAGUCUGGACCGUGUCUCAGUUCCAGUGUGGCCGAUCAGCCUCUCAGCUCGGCUACCCAUCGUUGGCUAGGUGGGCCGUUACCCCGCCUACUACCUAAUGGGACGCGAACCCCUCCUUUAGCGGAUUUCUCCUUUGACCUCUGUGUCAUGCGGCACUGUGGUCUUAUGCGGUAUUAGCACCUGUUUCCAAGUGUUAUCCCCCUCUGUAAGGCAGGUUACUCACGCGUUACUCACCCGUCCGCCGCUAACUUUCGCAGAGUGCAAGCACUCCGCUAAGUCCGCUCGACUUGCAUGUGUUAGGCACGCCGCCAGCGUUCGUCCUGAGCCAUAAUCAAACUCUGA